This 253-nucleotide ribosomal RNA is filed under the name uncultured bacterium. RNAcentral describes it as "partial 16S ribosomal RNA". It matches the Rfam family "Bacterial small subunit ribosomal RNA", at positions 524 to 776 of the family's 1533-position model. The record is from RNAcentral.
GACAGAGGUGGCGAGCGUUGUUCGGAUUUAUUGGGCGUAAAGCGUACGCAGGCGGUUUGGUAAGUCAGAGGUGAAAGACCACAGCUUAACUGUGGCACUGCCUUUGAUACUGCCUUUCUUGAGUAGAGUAGGGGGAAGCGGAAUUCCGAGUGUAGAGGUGAAAUUCGUAGAUAUUCGGAGGAACACCGGUGGCGAAGGCGGCUUCCUGGACUCUAACUGACGCUCAUGUACGAAAGCGUGGGUAGCAAACAGG